ACACAUGGUUGGAUCAUAUAGCUAUAGAAAGGAUUAGUGAUUCAUAGUGGCUUCAGCAAUUAUGGUAGGUAUAUAUGUUAUUCUUUUACUACAAAAAAUCAAAUAAUUUGUUCAAAUGAAACAUUUAACUUGUCAAAAAUAUACCCUGAAAGCACAUAAAUUUCACAGGACCAUAAAUUCAACUUGAAACUUUCCAGCUGUGCAAACACAUGGUUGGAUCAUAUAGCUAUAGAAAGGAUUAGUGAUUCAUAGUGGCUUCAGUGAUUCAUAGUGAUUCAAGCUGUUAACAAGAUUUCAGGCAUUAGAAGAAGGGGAAAAAAAUCGAAUCCACUGAUAGUCAAAAUUAUAACACUAGCAAGUAUAGAUGUCUCGUGCUAAAUAAUCAUGCACACAGCUCAAAACAAAAUAAUUCAAUCUAAUCAUUUGCCACAUAAUAAAUGUCGCAGUAAAAAGCACAUUAAUAAUGAAUUCGAGAAUUAGAUGGAAAUGCCCAUAAAAUCUAGAGGCAAUCUAUCUUUUCAUUUUUAAGCCUCCAGAAGAUUACAAUCAAAAUUACCAUUUAUCCAAACUUUCAUCCAAUUCACAAUGCAAUUAAGGAUUACAAAAUUGGAAGAGUAUGGAAAGAUGCAAUGUUCUCAUUUCCUUCCAAUAAACUUCUUAGCACACAAAACAAAUUCUAUUAGGAAAGUAAAAUUCUUUACCAAAAUCACAACUGUCAACUUGUUCACAUUAAAGAAAAUAGGAAAAUCAAAUAUAUUUAAGUAUUUAAUUUCAGUAGCAUGCAAUUACACGUGAAGGACAAUUGGGUCAGUAUAAAAACAACAGAAGAUAUUAUUGAGUUUAAAUUGUGGCGGCAUCAAAGGAAUUUGACAAUGUUAGGUUUCCAUCCAAAUUGGGGGAAACCAAAAUAAGACAUGAAUUCUGAUUAAAUGCACGCUGGAUUUUCAAAUUGGGUGCAAAACUGACUGAAAUUAAUUUUAAAUAAAAAAAAUAAAACUUUUAAAUCCAGUGACUUACCAAAAUUAUGAAUAUGGCCAAAACUGGAAAGCGGAAUAAACAGGAGACAAUCCAGCGAAAAAAAGAAAAUAAAUUAAAAUUAAAAAAAUCGAUGGAAUCGAGUUAUGAGCUUGAGCUGAUGUUAAAGCUUCAUCGGCUAAGAGAGGUCUCGGCGAAGAUCAGCGACUCGGAGAAGAGAAGGACCCAUUUAGAAAUGGGUAUUUUAUUAAAGUCUUUUUUUUUCCCCCAUAUUUUUUAAAAUUUUUAUAAUUGCCUCUCAAUAAACAGGAGACAAUCCAGCGAAAAAAAGAAAAUAAAUUAAAAUUAAAAAAAUCGAUGGAAUCGAGUUAUGAGCUUGAGCUGAUGUUAAAGCUUCAUCGGCUAAGAGAGGUCUCGGCGAAGAUCAGCGACUCGGAGAAGAGAAGGACCCAUUUAGAAAUGGGUAUUUUAUUAAAGUCUUUUUUUUCCCCCAUAUUUUUUAAAAUUUUUAUAAUUGCCUCUCAAUAAGACGACCAUUUUCAAUUUGACCCUCAUAGAAUUAAUAAUUUAUUAAUUGAGGCCUUUGAGAUUCAGCAUAAGAGCAUUAGAAUGUAUUGAACAUAUUUCAAUGUAAU
This 1610-nucleotide long non-coding RNA is filed under the name Olea europaea (common olive). RNAcentral's name for it is "long non-coding RNA (OEUR_LNC008453)". Lineage: Eukaryota; Viridiplantae; Streptophyta; Magnoliopsida; Lamiales; Oleaceae. The record is from RNAcentral.